GCCAAGCCCAGGAACUAGCUGCAACUCUCAGUGAAGUGAACAGGAGCUGUGUGGCUAAGUUGUGGGAUGUUUGAAAGUGGAGGAGAGGAUGUUCUAAGGACACACUUCCAAAUGAAAUUCACCCCUGUGCAGAAGAUGGCAAGACUCAGGCAUAGGAAGAUUCAGUGUCACACAAGAAAGAGAAGUCCCAUAGGUAUCAGAGCUUCCGCCUCAAAACAGGGUGUGAGGAGGAAAUAAGUGAACCGACUCAAUGCAGUAUUAAACGAUGUCUAAAGCAGCAUUGCUACAAUAACAGCCUUAUAUAA
Mauremys mutica (yellowpond turtle) is the source of this 305-nucleotide long non-coding RNA. RefSeq lists it as uncharacterized. NCBI's taxonomy places the organism in Eukaryota, Metazoa, Chordata, Testudines, Geoemydidae. The transcript is spliced from 3 exons. The record is from RefSeq and is a predicted model, not a curated record.